AUUGAACGCUGGCGGCAGGCCUAACACAUGCAAGUCGAGCGGAUGAAGGGAGCUUGCUCCUGGAUUCAGCGGCGGACGGGUGAGUAAUGCCUAGGAAUCUGCCUGGUAGUGGGGGAUAACGUCCGGAAACGGGCGCUAAUACCGCAUACGUCCUGCGGGAGAAAGUGGGGGAUCUUCGGACCUCCCGCUAUCAGAUGAGCCUAGGUCGGAUUAGCUAGUUGGUGGGGUAAAGGCCUACCAAGGCGACGAUCCGUAACUGGUCUGAGAGGAUGAUCAGUCACACGGGAACUGAGACGCGGUACAGACUCCUACGGGAGGCAGCGGUGGGGAAGAUUGGACAAUGGGCGGAAGCCUGAUCCAGCCAUGCCGCGUGUGUGAAGAAGGUCUUCGGAUUGUAAAGCACUUUAAGUUGGGAAGAAGGGCAGUAAGUUAAUACCUGGCUGUUUUGACGGUACCAACAGAAGAAGCACCGGCUAACUUCGUG
This 484-nucleotide ribosomal RNA is filed under the name uncultured bacterium. Its description in RNAcentral is "partial 16S ribosomal RNA". It matches the Rfam family "Bacterial small subunit ribosomal RNA", at positions 30 to 507 of the family's 1533-position model. The record is from RNAcentral.